GAGGUCCCGCCUGCCCAGUGAUAUUAUUUAACGGCCGCGGUACUCUAACCGUGCGAAGGUAGCACAAUAACUUGUUCUUUAAAUAAGGACUAGAAUCAAUGGCUUCACGAGGGUUAUUCUGUCUCCUUUUUCUAAUCAGUGAAACUGAUCUCCCCGUGAAGAAGCGGGGAUGUUUUUAUAAGACGAGAAGACCCCAUGGAGCUUUAAACUCAUCAGAUACCCUUUAUUAAUUAUAUUAUAUUUUUGGUAACUAUCUGCUGGCUUUGGGUUGGGGUGACCGCGGAGAAUAACUUAACCUCCACAAUGAAAAGAAUAAUAUCCUAAUCUGAGAGGGACACCUCUAAGAAUUAAUAGUUUAACAUAUAAUGAUCCGAUACUAUUAUUUGAUCAAUGAACCAAGUUACCCUGGGGAUAACAGCGCCAUCCACUUCAAGAGUCCCUAUCGACGAGUGGGUUUACGACCUCGAUGUUGGAUCAGGGUAUCCUAGUGGUGCAGCCGCUACUAAAGGUUCGUUUGUUCAACGAUUAAAACCCU
Molecule: ribosomal RNA, 535 nt
Filed under: Ptychadena longirostris (snouted grassland frog)
Lineage: Eukaryota; Metazoa; Chordata; Amphibia; Anura; Ptychadenidae
Description: partial 16S ribosomal RNA
Rfam family: Bacterial large subunit ribosomal RNA
Source: RNAcentral